Molecule: ribosomal RNA, 498 nt
Filed under: uncultured eukaryote
Lineage: Eukaryota
Description: bacterial SSU rRNA
Rfam family: Eukaryotic small subunit ribosomal RNA
Source: RNAcentral
CUCAUUAAAUCAGUUGCGAUCUACGUCGGCGUUCCGCGCCGCCGGAUAACCGUAGUAAUUCUAGGGCUAAUACGUGCGAGCGCCGAGCCGCGAGGCGACGGGCGUUCUCGCCGGAUGUAGGAACCGACCCGGGGACCGCCGGGGGCAACCCCGGCGCCCCCGAGACGGGGCGAACCACGGUGAAAUGACGGAUCGUCGGCCCCGCGCCGGCGACUCGCCGAAUGAGUUUCUGACCUAUCAACUCGAGACGGCGGGGUAGAGGCCCGCCGCGGUAACGACGGGUAACGGGGAAUCAGGGUUCGAUUCCGGAGAGGGAGCCCGAGAAACGGCUACCACUUCCAAGGAAGGCAGCAGGCGCGCAACUUACCCUAAUCUCGAUUCGAGGAGGUAGUGACAAGAAAUACCGAUGCGGGACCCUACGGGUGCCGCGUUCGGAAUGAGUACGAUUCGAACCACCUAACGAGGAACGAUCGGAGGGCAAGUCUGGUGCCAGCAGCC